This 429-nucleotide ribosomal RNA is filed under the name Acidobacteriota bacterium. RNAcentral describes it as "Acidobacteria bacterium partial 16S ribosomal RNA". It matches the Rfam family "Bacterial small subunit ribosomal RNA", at positions 355 to 776 of the family's 1533-position model. The record is from RNAcentral. Lineage: Bacteria; Pseudomonadati; Acidobacteriota.
UGGGGAAUUUUGGACAAUUGGGGAAACCCUGAUCCAGCCAUCCCGCGUGUUCGAUGAAGGCCUUCUGGUUGUAAAGCACUUUUGGCAGGAAAGAAACGUCAUGGGUUAAUACCCCGUUAAACUGACGGUACCUGCAGAAUAAGCACCGUCUAACUACGUGCCAGCAGCCGCGGUAAUACGUAGGUUGCAAGCGUUAAUCUGAAUUACUGGGCGUAAAGCGUGCGCAGGCGGUUCGGAAAGAAAGAUGUGAAAUCCCAGAGCUCAACUUUGGAACUGCAUUUUUAACGAACGGGCUAGAGUGUGUCAGAGGGAGGUGGAAUUCCGCGUGUAGCAGUGAAAUGCGUAGAUAUGAGGAGGAACAACGAUGGAGAAGGCAGCAUCAUGGGAUAACACUGACGCUCAUGAACGAAAGCGUGGGGAGCAAACAGG